UGGGGAAUAUUGCACAAUGGGCGCAAGCCUGAUGCAGCCAUGCCGCGUGUAUGAAGAAGGCCUUCGGGUUGUAAAGUACUUUCAGCGAGGAGGAAGGCGUUUAAGGUUAAUAACCUUGGCGAUUGACGUUACUCGCAGAAGAAGCACCGGCUAACUUCCGUGCCAGCAGCCGCGGUAAUACGGAAGGGUGCAAGCGUUUAAAUCGGAAUUACUGGGCGUAAAGCGCACGCAGGCGGCCUGUUAAGUCAGAUGUGAAAUCCCCGGGCUCAACCUGGGAACUGCAUUUGAAACUGGCAGGCUUGGAGUCUUGUAGAGGGGGGUAGAAUUCCAGGUGUAGCGGUGAAAUGCGUUAGAGAUCUGGAGGAAUACCGGUGGCGAAGGCGGCCCCCUGGACAAAGACUGACGCUCAGGUGCGAAAAGCGUGGGGAGCAAACA
This 435-nucleotide ribosomal RNA is filed under the name uncultured Enterobacteriaceae bacterium. RNAcentral's name for it is "bacterial SSU rRNA". It matches the Rfam family "Bacterial small subunit ribosomal RNA", at positions 355 to 774 of the family's 1533-position model. Lineage: Bacteria; Pseudomonadati; Pseudomonadota; Gammaproteobacteria; Enterobacterales; Enterobacteriaceae. The record is from RNAcentral.